UACGUAGGGGUGCAAGCGUUAAUCGGAAUUACUGGGCGUAAAGCGUGCGCAGGCGGUUGGUCGUGUCCUGUGUGAAAGCCCCGGGCUUUAACCUGGGAAUGGCAUGGGGAGAACUGGCUAGCUGGAGUGUGGCAGAGGGGGGGUGGAAUUCCGCGUGUAGCAGUGAAAUGCGUAGAGAUGCGGAGGAACACCGAUGGGCGAAGGCAGCCCCCCUGGGCUGACACUGACGCUCAGGCACGAAAGCGUGGGGAGCAAACAGG
This 260-nucleotide ribosomal RNA is filed under the name uncultured bacterium. RNAcentral describes it as "partial 16S ribosomal RNA". It matches the Rfam family "Bacterial small subunit ribosomal RNA", at positions 524 to 776 of the family's 1533-position model. The record is from RNAcentral.